This 465-nucleotide ribosomal RNA is filed under the name Vreelandella stevensii. Its description in RNAcentral is "partial 16S ribosomal RNA". It matches the Rfam family "Bacterial small subunit ribosomal RNA", at positions 338 to 795 of the family's 1533-position model. Lineage: Bacteria; Pseudomonadati; Pseudomonadota; Gammaproteobacteria; Oceanospirillales; Halomonadaceae. The record is from RNAcentral.
CCUACGGGUGGCAGCAGUGGGGAAUAUUGGACAAUGGGCGAAAGCCUGAUCCAGCCAUGCCGCGUGUGUGAAGAAGGCCUUCGGGUUGUAAAGCACUUUCAGUGGGGAAGAAAGCCUUGGGGCUAAUACCCUCGAGGAAGGACAUCACCCACAGAAGAAGCACCGGCUAACUCCGUGCCAGCAGCCGCGGUAAUACGGAGGGUGCGAGCGUUAAUCGGAAUUACUGGGCGUAAAGCGCGCGUAGGCGGUCUGAUAAGCCGGUUGUGAAAGCCCCGGGCUCAACCUGGGAACGGCAUCCGGAACUGUCAGGCUAGAGUGCAGGAGAGGAAGGUAGAAUUCCCGGUGUAGCGGUGAAAUGCGUAGAGAUCGGGAGGAAUACCAGUGGCGAAGGCGGCCUUCUGGACUGACACUGACGCUGAGGUGCGAAAGUGUGGGUAGCAAACAGGAUUAGAUACCCCUGUAGUC